AUGGAUAACAAAAAAAUACAACUGUCCAUAAGUCAAUCAGCCAACAAAUACAAAGGCCAAAGUUAGAUCCUAGACAUAAAAGACUAACUAUACUAGAUCUAAUAAAUAUCAUGACUAGAGGUGUCAAAAUCAGAAGAGUUAGAGAUAUGAUGAGGAGACACAGGAUGAGAGCCACGAGCACGUCCUCGACCACGUCUGCCUCGGCCACG
RNAcentral lists this long non-coding RNA (209 nucleotides) under Elaeis guineensis (African oil palm). Its description in RNAcentral is "long non-coding RNA (EGUI_LNC059048)". Lineage: Eukaryota; Viridiplantae; Streptophyta; Magnoliopsida; Arecales; Arecaceae. The record is from RNAcentral.